GCGGAAGUGGCGGAACUGGCAUACGCGUACGCCUCAGAAGCGUAUGGGUUAUCCCUUGAGGGUUCGACUCCCUCCUUCCGCACCA
This 85-nucleotide transfer RNA is filed under the name Candidatus Omnitrophota bacterium. RNAcentral's name for it is "tRNA-Leu". It matches the Rfam family "tRNA". Rfam says of the family: Transfer RNA (tRNA) molecules are approximately 80 nucleotides in length. Their secondary structure includes four short double-helical elements and three loops (D, anti-codon, and T loops). Lineage: Bacteria; Pseudomonadati; Candidatus Omnitrophota. The record is from RNAcentral.